Molecule: RNA transcript, 2088 nt
Organism: Sphaerodactylus townsendi
Lineage: Eukaryota; Metazoa; Chordata; Lepidosauria; Squamata; Sphaerodactylidae
Gene name: retinol dehydrogenase 8-like
Exons: 8
Source: RefSeq, a predicted model, not a curated record
GGCCCAGCCUCCUCCGGCACGGGUGGCCACCACGGCCGGGUGGGUCACCUUGCUUGCCGGGAAGGGAAGGGAGGAAGGGUCCGUGCGCCGCCGCCGCCGCCGCCGCCGCGCUCCACCUGCGUCCAGAAUGGCUGCCCGGAACGUGCUGCUGACCGGCUGCUCCUCUGGCAUUGGACGAGCCUUGGCAGUGCGCCUGGCCAAAGAUGAGCUGAAGCGCUUCCGAGUUAUUGCCACUAUGAGGAAUCUGGAGAAGAAAGAAGCCCUAGAGAAAGAGGCCGGGCCUGUCCUGGAAGAGACACUAGAAAUCAAGGAGUUGGAUGUGGGCAGUGAGGACUCGAUCCGCCGCUGCCUAGAUAGCAUCCCCCAGCGCAGGGUGGACGUCCUUGUGAACAACGCCGGGGUGGGCAUGAUUGGCCCGGUGGAGAGCCACAGCGUAGCCUCUGCCCAGCGCCUCUUUGACACCAACUUCUUCGGGGUGGUGCGCCUGAUCCGGGAAGUCUUCCCUGACAUGAAACGGCGGCGCCAAGGACACAUUGUGGUGAUGAGCAGCGUCUUGGGACUGCAAGGUCUCUUCUUCAAUGACUUCUACUGUGCCUCCAAAUUCGCUGUAGAGGGAUUCUGCGAGAGCCUGGCUUUGCAAGCCUUGAAGUUCGGGGUUAACAUCAGCUUAAUUGAACCAGGACCAGUUACGUCAGAGUUUGAAAGGAAGCUCUAUGAAGGGGUAGACAACAUGGAUCUUUCUGGGGUGGAUAAAGAGACUCAGGAUCUAUUCCGGGGCCUCUACAUGGACUACUCCAGGGACGUCUUCACGGCACUGGGACAGUCUCCGGAAGAGGUGGCGGAGCACGCCAUGAGGAUCAUCGCGUCCGAGAAUCCACCCUUCCGGUACCAGACCAACAGCUUCUACACGCCCAUCACCACCCUCAAGCAUGCUGACCCCAGCGGGAUCCUGCCCCUCAACGCCUUCCACCAGAUGAUCUUCCAGCACGACCGCCUCUUCAAAGCCAGCCUCAGCCUCCUGAAAAUGCUCCAGUGGAGGAAGAGGCGGGACUUGGACCACAGCCGGGGCCCCUCAGAAGGGGAAGCCGGGUCCCCGCGUUGAGCUGUGUAGUCGCCACCUAGGACACUUUUCAAGCUUCCUAGAGAAUUUUGCCUUGAGUUUAGCCCCCUCCUCUCAGGCUGUAUAUACAUUCCAGAUGACGAAGAGCACACACCCCGCCCUGCGCCCCAUGGUGAGAAGAGGAGGCAAAUUUUGAGCAUCUUGGAAAGGGGCAGGCAGCUAUAACCUGUGGGGUGCCAACUUCCCCUUGGAAGCCAACUGUGCCCCACGGAAGAUGAUGUGUGGAUUUUCAUCCUUCAAAACUUGGAUGUUCGGGUCCAACCGAAUGCUGCUGAGAUGUCAGAGGCCUGAAAACCUGUGGGACCAAGCCACUUGAGUUCUACACACCCUCUACCAUCUGGAAUUGAGACCAGCCAUAGCAUCGCUUACUGUCUGGAUGUUUUAAGGAAUCUCAUUAUGAAAAGCACAGGUUCUAACCCAGGCAAGACCCACCUGAAGCAUGGAGCCACCCAGUUUGGAUGGUCCCAGGGCUGCUUUGUCUGGGCCCAAAACAACGGCUAGUGAGCCAGUCUGAACAGGUAAGAGUGCCCCUGACUACCUCUGUCCCCCGUUUUAUUUAUUUAAUAUAUUUAUUUUCCUUACUUAUAUUGGGGGACAGUGAGAAGUCAAGGAUCUCCGCUCUAGCUGUUGUCUCUGCUGCUUCGUUGUUUGCAACGUUGCCCGCUGCCUCUUCCUAGUGGGAGAGGCUCUCUGGACCGGUGCUCCUCAUCGCCCAGGUGGCUUCUUGAUUUCUGUGGCCAGCAACAACUCUCUGCAGGCUUCCAGCCACGCUGAAGGUUUAAAUCCUUCCAGAACUGUCAGGAAGCUCUCUGGCGCCAUGUGUCCUUCUGGACGCGGACCUUUAAAAACUGAUAAGAACAUAAGAACAAGCCAGCUGGAUCAGACCAGAGUCCAUCUAGUCCAGCUCUCUGCUACUCGCAGUGGCCCACCAAGUGCCUUUGGGAGCUCACAUGCAGGCUGUGAACGCA